Non-coding RNA from Petromyzon marinus (sea lamprey), 1910 nucleotides. The record is from RefSeq and is a predicted model, not a curated record. NCBI's taxonomy places the organism in Eukaryota, Metazoa, Chordata, Hyperoartia, Petromyzontiformes, Petromyzontidae.
AGUUAAGUGUCUCCUCGCUUAAGGGAUGAUUGGGCAGCGCCCGUCUCUGUUGGUGGCCCAAAGUCAACGAUAGUUAGACUUGGGCAGUAGACGUUCCACCUUCUAGUGAGUAGUAGACGUUCCACCUUCUAGUGAGUAGUAGACGUUCCACCUUCUAGUGAGUAGUAGACGUUCCACCUUCUAGUGAGUAGUAGACGUUCCACCUUCUAGUGAGUAGUAGACGUUCCACCUUCUAGUAGGUAGUAGACGUUCCACCUUCUAGUGAGUAGUAGACGUUCCACCUUCUGGUAGGUAGUAGACGUUCCACCUUCUAGUGAGUAGUAGACGUUCCACCUCUAGUGGGUAGUAGACGUUCCACCUUCUAGUGGGUAGUAGACGUUCCACCUUCUAGUGAGUAGUAGACGUUCCACUUCUAGUGGGUAGUAGACGUUCCACCUUCUAGUUAGUAGUAGACGUUCCACCUUCUAGUGAGUAGUAGACGUUCCACCUUCUAGUGAUGAGUAGACGUUCCACCUUUAGUGAGUAGUAGACGUUCCACCUUCUAAGUAGGUAGUAGACGUUCCACCUUCUAGUAGGUAGUAGACGUUCCACCUUCUAGUAGGUAGUAGACGUUCCACCUUCUAGUGAGUAGUAGACGUUCCACCUUCCUAGUGAGUAGUAGACGUUCCACCUUCUAGUAGGUAGUAGACGUUGCACCUUCUAGUGAGUAGUAGACGUUCCACCUUCUAGUAGGUAGUAGUACGUUCCACCUUCUAGUAGGUAGUAGACAUUCCACCUUCUAGUGGGUAGUAGACGUUCCACCUUCUAGUGAGUAGUAGACAUUCCACCUUCUAGUGAGUAGUAGACGUUCCACCUUCUAGUAGGUAGUAGACGUUCCACCUUCUAGUGAGUAGUAGACGUUCCCACCUUCUAGUGAGUAAUAGACGUUCCACCUUCUAGUAGGUAGUAGACGUUCCACCUUCUAGUGAGUAGUAGACGUUUCCACCUUCUAGUAGGUAGUAGACGUUCCACCUUCUAGUGAGUAGUAGACGUUCCACCUUCUAGUAGGUAGUAGACGUUCCACCUUCUAGGGGUAGUAGACGUUCCACCUUCUAGUGAGUAGUAGACAUUCCACCUUCUAGUGAGUAGUAGACGUUCCACCUUCUAGUGAGUAGUAGACGUUCCACCUUCUGGUGAGUAGUAGACGUUCCACCUUCUAGUAGGUAGUAGACGUUCCACCUUCUAGUAGGUAGUAGACGUUCCACCUUCUAGUGAGUAGUAUACGUUCCACCUUCUAGUGAGUAGUAGCGUUCCACCUUCUAGUGAGUAGUAGACGUUCCACCUUCUAGUGAUGAGUAGACGUUCCACCUUUAGUGAGUAGUAGACGUUCCACCUUCUAGUAGGUAGUAGACGUUCCACCUUCUAGUGAGUAGUAGACGUUCCACCUUCUAGUGAGUAGUAGACGUUCCACCUUCUAGUAGGUAGUAGACGUUCCACCUUCUAGUAGGUAGUAGACGUUCCACCUUUUAGUAGGUAGUAGACGUUCCACCUUCUAGUAGGUAGUAGACGUUCCACCUUCUAGUAGGUAGUAGACGUUCCACCUUCUAGUGAGUAGUAGACGUUCCACCUUCUAGUGAGUAGUAGACGUUCCACCUUCUAGUGAGUAGUAGAUGUUCCACCUUCUAGUAGGUAGUAGGACAUUCCACCUUCUAGUGAGUAGUAGACGUUCCACCUUCUAGUGAGUAGUAGACGUUCCACCUUCUAGUGGGUAGUAGACGUUCCACCUUCUAGUGAGUAGUAGACGUUCCACCUUCUAGUGAGUAGUAGACGUUCCACCUUCUAGUGAGUAGUAGACGUUCCACCUUCUAGUGAGUAGUAGACGUUCCACCUUCUAGUGAGUAGUAGACGUUCCCACCUUCUAGUGAGUAGUA